Molecule: ribosomal RNA, 253 nt
Filed under: uncultured bacterium
Lineage: Bacteria
Description: partial 16S ribosomal RNA
Rfam family: Bacterial small subunit ribosomal RNA
Source: RNAcentral
UACGUAGGGGGCAAGCGUUGUCCGGAAUCAUUGGGCGUAAAGAGCGCGUAGGCGGCCCUGUAAGUCCGCUGUGAAAGUCAAGGGCUCAACCCUUGAAUGCCGGUGGAUACUGCAGGGCUAGAGUCCGGAAGAGGCGAGUGGAAUUCCUGGUGUAGCGGUGAAAUGCGCAGAUAUCUGGAGGAACACCGGUGGCGAAGGCGGCAUCCUGGACCAACACUGACACUGAGGAGCGAAAGCCAGGGGAGCAAACGGG